AGGUACGCCUGAAAAGAAGCCAAGACGUGUUGCGGUUGCCUCUUGGCUCGUUUGCUGCCUUUGCCCUUUUCUCUAUUCGUCUCUUGCUCCACGGAUUCCAGCCCGUAUAGCCGACAUUACCACGUGAAUACACUCACGUCCAGCCGUCAUCCCUAGCUUUUAUACCCUCCAUUUCUUUGCUUUUAGUAAAGGUAUACUCACCGUGCCCCCUGAUGACAGGGUUACCCCUCAUCGUGGUAUCCAGGGUCCAGUACGCACCACUCUCUGUGUGAAAGCCAAGCAGCCCCUAUCCCUGCCCGCGCCGAGCCACUUCUGAUGGCAGCAGGGUCCACUGCCUGCGGUGUAGCGAAAUCAGAGCUCUCUGUCGCUGCUGAUGUCGACGGCCAGGCCGUAUAUAUAGCGAUGCCUCAGAACGACCUGCGACUGUGAGCACGUCUGUGGCAUCCACAUGAUAGACAGAGUGCCAGCGUGGCUCGAAUGCACCUCACCCGGCGCUGCCUGCCUGCGGGCGGGAGCCUAGCUCACCCCGAGCGAUUCAGCGCAUGGCGACCUGCUGUGCGGGGGGGGAGCUUCAGGCGGAAGCCAUGCUCAGGUGACGGGGUCGGCUUUGCCCUAACACGUGUUUCCCUCUGCUUUGCCCCACGCAACGGGGCCUGUGACAGGCCGCGGUGGAGCCGAGCUGGAGUCAUGCUGUGCGGCAGAAUAGGGAUGCUGAGGGAAAAACGUUUCACCAUCCUAUGCCUGCCGCCCAACGUGAUGGAGGACCACAUGAUUUGGAUAAAGUCACUUACGAGAUAUUCGCAUCCACUCGAGACUUUCGCCAACUCCCAGCCGAAACUCAGAACGACAUUAUCACACCCGGCUUCGGUUUCACUACAGCCUCCCCCCCUUUCAUGUCAUAAGCCUUGCCGCCAAACUUCAUCUUCCGAAGCAGCGCAGCUUCCUCUUCGCGCCUCAUCACUUGUUUACCCGCAGCUUCAUACGAACGCGCUAAAAACAGUGCAGAACUAGAAACGAGUAAAAAAAGCCCCCCCCCCCCCCCUGACUGAGAGACUAUCAUGCACCACUCUGAGGUUGCGAGCCGCGUGUGCCUGUGUGUGCGCUGCUGAUGCGCGGAGGAGGAGCAGCGAGGGUGCGGGUGCGUGCGGCGCACUGCGCCUCGCCAGGGCGGUCGCCGUUGCCCUCGCGGCCUGUUGCUCCGCGCGCCGCUGUGGACCUGUGCACAGAUGAUGAUUGACUGUAACAUCACAGACUUUGAGUCGCGAUGAUAGCAACCAUGUCGCCCCAGUCUGACGUGCGCCGGCGCCGUGCACGCCGUGUGGGUGUGCGCGUGCGCAUCUAGAGAGCUGUGCCUGUGUGAUGUCGCGGGGGCCGUGCGUGCCCGCCGCUGCGCGUUGACAUGAUCGACACCUAGGCUGAUGUAAAGCCGUCGCAGAUGGACGUUGAGUGGCGCACGCCGUGAAACCAACCCCGCCUCGUCUGAUCGCGCGCACUCCUUCCUCCCCACCCCUGCCGCGCGGCAUCUCUGCCCUGUGCUGCGGCCCCGCCACCCACAACGCCUGCUGCCGCGCUGCGCGAGCAAGUGCGCGUGUGCGGCGUGCGUGGCGCUGCUUGUACUGCUGGUGCUACUGCUGCCCACUGGCCCCGUCACCUUGAGGGCGCCCGUGCCGCCUGUCGGCGCAUGCUGGGCGUACGGCCUCGAGUCGCUGCGGCGCUGGCGCACGUGCGUGCAUGUGCCGUCUGCGCUGCGAUUCGGGGGGCCACAGAGCAAGGGAUGCGAGCGCGCGGCGUGAUGCUCGGCGUGCUGCGCGCGCGCCUGACGCACCGCCGCGCGCCGCGGUUCCCGUUACGCAUAUCCUGUGUGCGCUCCAGCCCCGUCGGGGCCAUGACGAGUCCGCAACCAACCAUGCGUUACACAUUGCCUGCGCGCGCGCGAGGAGACGACGCGCUCACUGUAGUGCGCGUGCCGCAAGACCCACAGGCACCGUGCAUGAAACUGGAGCGCUAGAUUGUAGGCUGCCCGCGGACGCGGUGCCACGGUGCGGGGGAUGACAGACAACACGACAACAAAGCACAGUUUGAGCUGAUGCACCGCUGCCGCGUUUGUGGCCGACACCGGUGCCCCCCGCCGCUGCGUGGGACGCCGCUGGCGGUGCGCGUGCGCAGUACGAUUAAACACGGACGCGCCGCUGCAUACGCUUGGUGCUGGCGCCGUCCGCCAGUGUCGUACGAGAUGUGGGAGGGGCGACGGCGUGCUGGUGCCGGUGCAGUGCCGUCAGGUAAAGUGACGAUGGUGUGUCCCAUCCGCGCCACUGGUUCAGGCGGCACGAGAGCGAGCGACGGAGUAUGCGUGUGUGCUGCUGCUGCUGCUGCUGCUGCUGCGAUGGGAGCGGCGUGCACGGCGACACACUGACGCACAGGCACAUAGAGAGAGAAAGAGCGCGACAGGGACGCAGACGCAGGAUGCACAAAACUGAUUCAGGCGUGCCGACGCACGCAUCAGGAGCCCCCUGACUGAGAGACUAUCAUGCACCACUCUGAGGUUGCGAGCCGCGUGUGCCUGUGUGUGCGCUGCUGAUGCGCGGAGGAGGAGCAGCGAGGGUGCGGGUGCGUGCGGCGCACUGCGCCUCGCCAGGGCGGUCGCCGUUGCCCUCGCGGCCUGUUGCUCCGCGCGCCGCUGUGGACCUGUGCACAGAUGAUGAUUGACUGUAACAUCACAGACUUUGAGUCGCGAUGAUAGCAACCAUGUCGCCCCAGUCUGACGUGCGCCGGCGCCGUGCACGCCGUGUGGGUGUGCGCGUGCGCAUCUAGAGAGCUGUGCCUGUGUGAUGUCGCGGGGGCCGUGCGUGCCCGCCGCUGCGCGUUGACAUGAUCGACACCUAGGCUGAUGUAAAGCCGUCGCAGAUGGACGUUGAGUGGCGCACGCCGUGAAACCAACCCCGCCUCGUCUGAUCGCGCGCACUCCUUCCUCCCCACCCCUGCCGCGCGGCACCUCUGCCCUGUGCUGCGGCCCCGCCACCCACAACGCCUGCUGCCGCGCUGCGCGAGCAAGUGCGCGUGUGCGGCGUGCGUGGCGCUGCUUGUACUGCUGGUGCUACUGCUGCCCACUGGCCCCGUCACCUUGAGGGCGCCCGUGCCGCCUGUCGGCGCAUGCUGGGCGUACGGCCUCGAGUCGCUGCGGCGCUGGCGCACGUGCGUGCAUGUGCCGUCUGCGCUGCGAUUCGGGGGGCCACAGAGCAAGGGAUGCGAGCGCGCGGCGUGAUGCUCGGCGUGCUGCGCGCGCGCCUGACGCACCGCCGCGCGCCGCGGUUCCCGUUACGCAUAUCCUGUGUGCGCUCCAGCCCCGUCGGGGCCAUGACGAGUCCGCAACCAACCAUGCGUUACACAUUGCCUGCGCGCGCGCGAGGAGACGACGCGCUCACUGUAGUGCGCGUGCCGCAAGACCCACAGGCACCGUGCAUGAAACUGGAGCGCUAGAUUGUAGGCUGCCCGCGGACGCGGUGCCACGGUGCGGGGGAUGACAGACAACACGACAACAAAGCACAGUUUGAGCUGAUGCACCGCUGCCGCGUUUGUGGCCGACACCGGUGCCCCCCGCCGCUGCGUGGGACGCCGCUGGCGGUGCGCGUGCGCAGUACGAUUAAACACGGACGCGCCGCUGCAUACGCUUGGUGCUGGCGCCGUCCGCCAGUGUCGUACGAGAUGUGGGAGGGGCGACGGCGUGCUGGUGCCGGUGCAGUGCCGUCAGGUAAAGUGACGAUGGUGUGUCCCAUCCGCGCCACUGGUUCAGGCGGCACGAGAGCGAGCGACGGAGUAUGCGUGUGUGCUGCUGCUGCUGCUGCUGCUGCUGCGAUGGGAGCGGCGUGCACGGCGACACACUGACGCACAGGCACAUAGAGAGAGAAAGAGCGCGACAGGGACGCAGACGCAGGAUGCACAAAACUGAUUCAGGCGUGCCGACGCACGCAUCAGGAGCCCCCUGACUGAGAGACUAUCAUGCACCACUCUGAGGUUGCGAGCCGCGUGUGCCUGUGUGUGCGCUGCUGAUGCGCGGAGGAGGAGCAGCGAGGGUGCGGGUGCGUGCGGCGCACUGCGCCUCGCCAGGGCGGUCGCCGUUGCCCUCGCGGCCUGUUGCUCCGCGCGCCGCUGUGGACCUGUGCACAGAUGAUGAUUGACUGUAACAUCACAGACUUUGAGUCGCGAUGAUAGCAACCAUGUCGCCCCAGUCUGACGUGCGCCGGCGCCGUGCACGCCGUGUGGGUGUGCGCGUGCGCAUCUAGAGAGCUGUGCCUGUGUGAUGUCGCGGGGGCCGUGCGUGCCCGCCGCUGCGCGUUGACAUGAUCGACACCUAGGCUGAUGUAAAGCCGUCGCAGAUGGACGUUGAGUGGCGCACGCCGUGAAACCAACCCCGCCUCGUCUGAUCGCGCGCACUCCUUCCUCCCCACCCCUGCCGCGCGGCAUCUCUGCCCUGUGCUGCGGCCCCGCCACCCACAACGCCUGCUGCCGCGCUGCGCGAGCAAGUGCGCGUGUGCGGCGUGCGUGGCGCUGCUUGUACUGCUGGUGCUACUGCUGCCCACUGGCCCCGUCACCUUGAGGGCGCCCGUGCCGCCUGUCGGCGCAUGCUGGGCGUACGGCCUCGAGUCGCUGCGGCGCUGGCGCACGUGCGUGCAUGUGCCGUCUGCGCUGCGAUUCGGGGGGCCACAGAGCAAGGGAUGCGAGCGCGCGGCGUGAUGCUCGGCGUGCUGCGCGCGCGCCUGACGCACCGCCGCGCGCCGCGGUUCCCGUUACGCAUAUCCUGUGUGCGCUCCAGCCCCGUCGGGGCCAUGACGAGUCCGCAACCAACCAUGCGUUACACAUUGCCUGCGCGCGCGCGAGGAGACGACGCGCUCACUGUAGUGCGCGUGCCGCAAGACCCACAGGCACCGUGCAUGAAACUGGAGCGCUAGAUUGUAGGCUGCCCGCGGACGCGGUGCCACGGUGCGGGGGAUGACAGACAACACGACAACAAAGCACAGUUUGAGCUGAUGCACCGCUGAUAGACAACGUCACACAUGAGCUAAGUCUGCUGACGCACCGCUGCCGCGUUUGUGGCCGACACCGGUGCCCCCCGCCGCUGCGUGGGACGCCGCUGGCGGUGCGCGUGCGCAGUACGAUUAAACACGGACGCGCCGCUGCAUACGCUUGGUGCUGGCGCCGUCCGCCAGUGUCGUACGAGAUGUGGGAGGGGCGACGGCGUGCUGGUGCCGGUGCAGUGCCGUCAGGUAAAGUGACGAUGGUGUGUCCCAUCCGCGCCACUGGUUCAGGCGGCACGAGAGCGAGCGACGGAGUAUGCGUGUGUGCUGCUGCUGCUGCUGCUGCUGCUGCUGCUGCGAUGGGAGCGGCGUGCACGGCGACACACUGACGCACAGGCACAUAGAGAGAGAAAGAGCGCGACAGGGACGCAGACGCAGGAUGCACAAAACUGAUUCAGGCGUGCCGACGCACGCAUCAGGAGCCCCCUGACUGAGAGACUAUCAUGCACCACUCUGAGGUUGCGAGCCGCGUGUGCCUGUGUGUGCGCUGCUGAUGCGCGGAGGAGGAGCAGCGAGGGUGCGGGUGCGUGCGGCGCACUGCGCCUCGCCAGGGCGGUCGCCGUUGCCCUCGCGGCCUGUUGCUCCGCGCGCCGCUGUGGACCUGUGCACAGAUGAUGAUUGACUGUAACAUCACAGACUUUGAGUCGCGAUGAUAGCAACCAUGUCGCCCCAGUCUGACGUGCGCCGGCGCCGUGCACGCCGUGUGGGUGUGCGCGUGCGCAUCUAGAGAGCUGUGCCUGUGUGAUGUCGCGGGGGCCGUGCGUGCCCGCCGCUGCGCGUUGACAUGAUCGACACCUAGGCUGAUGUAAAGCCGUCGCAGAUGGACGUUGAGUGGCGCACGCCGUGAAACCAACCCCGCCUCGUCUGAUCGCGCGCACUCCUUCCUCCACACCCCUGCCGCGCGGCAUCUCUGCCCUGUGCUGCGGCCCCGCCACCCACAACGCCUGCUGCCGCGCUGCGCGAGCAAGUGCGCGUGUGCGGCGUGCGUGGCGCUGCUUGUACUGCUGGUGCUACUGCUGCCCACUGGCCCCGUCACCUUGAGGGCGCCCGUGCCGCCUGUCGGCGCAUGCUGGGCGUACGGCCUCGAGUCGCUGCGGCGCUGGCGCACGUGCGUGCAUGUGCCGUCUGCGCUGCGAUUCGGGGGGCCACAGAGCAAGGGAUGCGAGCGCGCGGCGUGAUGCUCGGCGUGCUGCGCGCGCGCCUGACGCACCGCCGCGCGCCGCGGUUCCCGUUACGCAUAUCCUGUGUGCGCUCCAGCCCCGUCGGGGCCAUGACGAGUCCGCAACCAACCAUGCGUUACACAUUGCCUGCGCGCGCGCGAGGAGACGACGCGCUCACUGUAGUGCGCGUGCCGCAAGACCCACAGGCACCGUGCAUGAAACUGGAGCGCUAGAUUGUAGGCUGCCCGCGGACGCGGUGCCACGGUGCGGGGGAUGACAGACAACACGACAACAAAGCACAGUUUGAGCUGAUGCACCGCUGCCGCCUUUGUGGCCGACACCGGUGCCCCCCGCCGCUGCGUGGGACGCCGCUGGCGGUGCGCGUGCGCAGUACGAUUAAACACGGACGCGCCGCUGCAUACGCUUGGUGCUGGCGCCGUCCGCCAGUGUCGUACGAGAUGUGGGAGGGGCGACGGCGUGCUGGUGCCGGUGCAGUGCCGUCAGGUAAAGUGACGAUGGUGUGUCCCAUCCGCGCCACUGGUUCAGGCGGCACGAGAGCGAGCGACGGAGUAUGCGUGUGUGCUGCUGCUGCUGCUGCUGCUGCUGCGAUGGGAGCGGCGUGCACGGCGACACACUGACGCACAGGCACAUAGAGAGAGAAAGAGCGCGACAGGGACGCAGACGCAGGAUGCACAAAACUGAUUCAGGCGUGCCGACGCACGCAUCAGGAGCCCCCUGACUGAGAGACUAUCAUGCACCACUCUGAGGUUGCGAGCCGCGUGUGCCUGUGUGUGCGCUGCUGAUGCGCGGAGGAGGAGCAGCGAGGGUGCGGGUGCGUGCGGCGCACUGCGCCUCGCCAGGGCGGUCGCCGUUGCCCUCGCGGCCUGUUGCUCCGCGCGCCGCUGUGGACCUGUGCACAGAUGAUGAUUGACUGUAACAUCACAGACUUUGAGUCGCGAUGAUAGCAACCAUGUCGCCCCAGUCUGACGUGCGCCGGCGCCGUGCACGCCGUGUGGGUGUGCGCGUGCGCAUCUAGAGAGCUGUGCCUGUGUGAUGUCGCGGGGGCCGUGCGUGCCCGCCGCUGCGCGUUGACAUGAUCGACACCUAGGCUGAUGUAAAGCCGUCGCAGAUGGACGUUGAGUGGCGCACGCCGUGAAACCAACCCCGCCUCGUCUGAUCGCGCGCACUCCUUCCUCCCCACCCCUGCCGCGCGGCAUCUCUGCCCUGUGCUGCGGCCCCGCCACCCACAACGCCUGCUGCCGCGCUGCGCGAGCAAGUGCGCGUGUGCGGCGUGCGUGGCGCUGCUUGUACUGCUGGUGCUACUGCUGCCCACUGGCCCCGUCACCUUGAGGGCGCCCGUGCCGCCUGUCGGCGCAUGCUGGGCGUACGGCCUCGAGUCGCUGCGGCGCUGGCGCACGUGCGUGCAUGUGCCGUCUGCGCUGCGAUUCGGGGGGCCACAGAGCAAGGGAUGCGAGCGCGCGGCGUGAUGCUCGGCGUGCUGCGCGCGCGCCUGACGCACCGCCGCGCGCCGCGGUUCCCGUUACGCAUAUCCUGUGUGCGCUCCAGCCCCGUCGGGGCCAUGACGAGUCCGCAACCAACCAUGCGUUACACAUUGCCUGCGCGCGCGCGAGGAGACGACGCGCUCACUGUAGUGCGCGUGCCGCAAGACCCACAGGCACCGUGCAUGAAACUGGAGCGCUAGAUUGUAGGCUGCCCGCGGACGCGGUGCCACGGUGCGGGGGAUGACAGACAACACGACAACAAAGCACAGUUUGAGCUGAUGCACCGCUGCCGCCUUUGUGGCCGACACCGGUGCCCCCCGCCGCUGCGUGGGACGCCGCUGGCGGUGCGCGUGCGCAGUACGAUUAAACACGGACGCGCCGCUGCAUACGCUUGGUGCUGGCGCCGUCCGCCAGUGUCGUACGAGAUGUGGGAGGGGCGACGGCGUGCUGGUGCCGGUGCAGUGCCGUCAGGUAAAGUGACGAUGGUGUGUCCCAUCCGCGCCACUGGUUCAGGCGGCACGAGAGCGAGCGACGGAGUAUGCGUGUGUGCUGCUGCUGCUGCUGCUGCUGCUGCGAUGGGAGCGGCGUGCACGGCGACACACUGACGCACAGGCACAUAGAGAGAGAAAGAGCGCGACAGGGACGCAGACGCAGGAUGCACAAAACUGAUUCAGGCGUGCCGACGCACGCAUCAGGAGCCCCCUGACUGAGAGACUAUCAUGCACCACUCUGAGGUUGCGAGCCGCGUGUGCCUGUGUGUGCGCUGCUGAUGCGCGGAGGAGGAGCAGCGAGGGUGCGGGUGCGUGCGGCGCACUGCGCCUCGCCAGGGCGGUCGCCGUUGCCCUCGCGGCCUGUUGCUCCGCGCGCCGCUGUGGACCUGUGCACAGAUGAUGAUUGACUGUAACAUCACAGACUUUGAGUCGCGAUGAUAGCAACCAUGUCGCCCCAGUCUGACGUGCGCCGGCGCCGUGCACGCCGUGUGGGUGUGCGCGUGCGCAUCUAGAGAGCUGUGCCUGUGUGAUGUCGCGGGGGCCGUGCGUGCCCGCCGCUGCGCGUUGACAUGAUCGACACCUAGGCUGAUGUAAAGCCGUCGCAGAUGGACGUUGAGUGGCGCACGCCGUGAAACCAACCCCGCCUCGUCUGAUCGCGCGCACUCCUUCCUCCCCACCCCUGCCGCGCGGCAUCUCUGCCCUGUGCUGCGGCCCCGCCACCCACAACGCCUGCUGCCGCGCUGCGCGAGCAAGUGCGCGUGUGCGGCGUGCGUGGCGCUGCUUGUACUGCUGGUGCUACUGCUGCCCACUGGCCCCGUCACCUUGAGGGCGCCCGUGCCGCCUGUCGGCGCAUGCUGGGCGUACGGCCUCGAGUCGCUGCGGCGCUGGCGCACGUGCGUGCAUGUGCCGUCUGCGCUGCGAUUCGGGGGGCCACAGAGCAAGGGAUGCGAGCGCGCGGCGUGAUGCUCGGCGUGCUGCGCGCGCGCCUGACGCACCGCCGCGCGCCGCGGUUCCCGUUACGCAUAUCCUGUGUGCGCUCCAGCCCCGUCGGGGCCAUGACGAGUCCGCAACCAACCAUGCGUUACACAUUGCCUGCGCGCGCGCGAGGAGACGACGCGCUCACUGUAGUGCGCGUGCCGCAAGACCCACAGGCACCGUGCAUGAAACUGGAGCGCUAGAUUGUAGGCUGCCCGCGGACGCGGUGCCACGGUGCGGGGGAUGACAGACAACACGACAACAAAGCACAGUUUGAGCUGAUGCACCGCUGCCGCCUUUGUGGCCGACACCGGUGCCCCCCGCCGCUGCGUGGGACGCCGCUGGCGGUGCGCGUGCGCAGUACGAUUAAACACGGACGCGCCGCUGCAUACGCUUGGUGCUGGCGCCGUCCGCCAGUGUCGUACGAGAUGUGGGAGGGGCGACGGCGUGCUGGUGCCGGUGCAGUGCCGUCAGGUAAAGUGACGAUGGUGUGUCCCAUCCGCGCCACUGGUUCAGGCGGCACGAGAGCGAGCGACGGAGUAUGCGUGUGUGCUGCUGCUGCUGCUGCUGCUGCUGCGAUGGGAGCGGCGUGCACGGCGACACACUGACGCACAGGCACAUAGAGAGAGAAAGAGCGCGACAGGGACGCAGACGCAGGAUGCACAAAACUGAUUCAGGCGUGCCGACGCACGCAUCAGGAGCCCCCUGACUGAGAGACUAUCAUGCACCACUCUGAGGUUGCGAGCCGCGUGUGCCUGUGUGUGCGCUGCUGAUGCGCGGAGGAGGAGCAGCGAGGGUGCGGGUGCGUGCGGCGCACUGCGCCUCGCCAGGGCGGUCGCCGUUGCCCUCGCGGCCUGUUGCUCCGCGCGCCGCUGUGGACCUGUGCACAGAUGAUGAUUGACUGUAACAUCACAGACUUUGAGUCGCGAUGAUAGCAACCAUGUCGCCCCAGUCUGACGUGCGCCGGCGCCGUGCACGCCGUGUGGGUGUGCGCGUGCGCAUCUAGAGAGCUGUGCCUGUGUGAUGUCGCGGGGGCCGUGCGUGCCCGCCGCUGCGCGUUGACAUGAUCGACACCUAGGCUGAUGUAAAGCCGUCGCAGAUGGACGUUGAGUGGCGCACGCCGUGAAACCAACCCCGCCUCGUCUGAUCGCGCGCACUCCUUCCUCCCCACCCCUGCCGCGCGGCAUCUCUGCCCUGUGCUGCGGCCCCGCCACCCACAACGCCUGCUGCCGCGCUGCGCGAGCAAGUGCGCGUGUGCGGCGUGCGUGGCGCUGCUUGUACUGCUGGUGCUACUGCUGCCCACUGGCCCCGUCACCUUGAGGGCGCCCGUGCCGCCUGUCGGCGCAUGCUGGGCGUACGGCCUCGAGUCGCUGCGGCGCUGGCGCACGUGCGUGCAUGUGCCGUCUGCGCUGCGAUUCGGGGGGCCACAGAGCAAGGGAUGCGAGCGCGCGGCGUGAUGCUCGGCGUGCUGCGCGCGCGCCUGACGCACCGCCGCGCGCCGCGGUUCCCGUUACGCAUAUCCUGUGUGCGCUCCAGCCCCGUCGGGGCCAUGACGAGUCCGCAACCAACCAUGCGUUACACAUUGCCUGCGCGCGCGCGAGGAGACGACGCGCUCACUGUAGUGCGCGUGCCGCAAGACCCACAGGCACCGUGCAUGAAACUGGAGCGCUAGAUUGUAGGCUGCCCGCGGACGCGGUGCCACGGUGCGGGGGAUGACAGACAACACGACAACAAAGCACAGUUUGAGCUGAUGCACCGCUGCCGCGUUUGUGGCCGACACCGGUGCCCCCCGCCGCUGCGUGGGACGCCGCUGGCGGUGCGCGUGCGCAGUACGAUUAAACACGGACGCGCCGCUGCAUACGCUUGGUGCUGGCGCCGUCCGCCAGUGUCGUACGAGAUGUGGGAGGGGCGACGGCGUGCUGGUGCCGGUGCAGUGCCGUCAGGUAAAGUGACGAUGGUGUGUCCCAUCCGCGCCACUGGUUCAGGCGGCACGAGAGCGAGCGACGGAGUAUGCGUGUGUGCUGCUGCUGCUGCUGCUGCUGCUGCUGCGAUGGGAGCGGCGUGCACGGCGACACACUGACGCACAGGCACAUAGAGAGAGAAAGAGCGCGACAGGGACGCAGACGCAGGAUGCACAAAACUGAUUCAGGCGUGCCGACGCACGCAUCAGGAGCCCCCUGACUGAGAGACUAUCAUGCACCACUCUGAGGUUGCGAGCCGCGUGUGCCUGUGUGUGCGCUGCUGAUGCGCGGAGGAGGAGCAGCGAGGGUGCGGGUGCGUGCGGCGCACUGCGCCUCGCCAGGGCGGUCGCCGUUGCCCUCGCGGCCUGUUGCUCCGCGCGCCGCUGUGGACCUGUGCACAGAUGAUGAUUGACUGUAACAUCACAGACUUUGAGUCGCGAUGAUAGCAACCAUGUCGCCCCAGUCUGACGUGCGCCGGCGCCGUGCACGCCGUGUGGGUGUGCGCGUGCGCAUCUAGAGAGCUGUGCCUGUGUGAUGUCGCGGGGGCCGUGCGUGCCCGCCGCUGCGCGUUGACAUGAUCGACACCUAGGCUGAUGUAAAGCCGUCGCAGAUGGACGUUGAGUGGCGCACGCCGUGAAACCAACCCCGCCUCGUCUGAUCGCGCGCACUCCUUCCUCCCCACCCCUGCCGCGCGGCAUCUCUGCCCUGUGCUGCGGCCCCGCCACCCACAACGCCUGCUGCCGCGCUGCGCGAGCAAGUGCGCGUGUGCGGCGUGCGUGGCGCUGCUUGUACUGCUGGUGCUACUGCUGCCCACUGGCCCCGUCACCUUGAGGGCGCCCGUGCCGCCUGUCGGCGCAUGCUGGGCGUACGGCCUCGAGUCGCUGCGGCGCUGGCGCACGUGCGUGCAUGUGCCGUCUGCGCUGCGAUUCGGGGGGCCACAGAGCAAGGGAUGCGAGCGCGCGGCGUGAUGCUCGGCGUGCUGCGCGCGCGCCUGACGCACCGCCGCGCGCCGCGGUUCCCGUUACGCAUAUCCUGUGUGCGCUCCAGCCCCGUCGGGGCCAUGACGAGUCCGCAACCAACCAUGCGUUACACAUUGCCUGCGCGCGCGCGAGGAGACGACGCGCUCACUGUAGUGCGCGUGCCGCAAGACCCACAGGCACCGUGCAUGAAACUGGAGCGCUAGAUUGUAGGCUGCCCGCGGACGCGGUGCCACGGUGCGGGGGAUGACAGACAACACGACAACAAAGCACAGUUUGAGCUGAUGCACCGCUGCCGCCUUUGUGGCCGACACCGGUGCCCCCCGCCGCUGCGUGGGACGCCGCUGGCGGUGCGCGUGCGCAGUACGAUUAAACACGGACGCGCCGCUGCAUACGCUUGGUGCUGGCGCCGUCCGCCAGUGUCGUACGAGAUGUGGGAGGGGCGACGGCGUGCUGGUGCCGGUGCAGUGCCGUCAGGUAAAGUGACGAUGGUGUGUCCCAUCCGCGCCACUGGUUCAGGCGGCACGAGAGCGAGCGACGGAGUAUGCGUGUGUGCUGCUGCUGCUGCUGCUGCUGCGAUGGGAGCGGCGUGCACGGCGACACACUGACGCACAGGCACAUAGAGAGAGAAAGAGCGCGACAGGGACGCAGACGCAGGAUGCACAAAACUGAUUCAGGCGUGCCGACGCACGCAUCAGGAGCCCCCUGACUGAGAGACUAUCAUGCACCACUCUGAGGUUGCGAGCCGCGUGUGCCUGUGUGUGCGCUGCUGAUGCGCGGAGGAGGAGCAGCGAGGGUGCGGGUGCGUGCGGCGCACUGCGCCUCGCCAGGGCGGUCGCCGUUGCCCUCGCGGCCUGUUGCUCCGCGCGCCGCUGUGGACCUGUGCACAGAUGAUGAUUGACUGUAACAUCACAGACUUUGAGUCGCGAUGAUAGCAACCAUGUCGCCCCAGUCUGACGUGCGCCGGCGCCGUGCACGCCGUGUGGGUGUGCGCGUGCGCAUCUAGAGAGCUGUGCCUGUGUGAUGUCGCGGGGGCCGUGCGUGCCCGCCGCUGCGCGUUGACAUGAUCGACACCUAGGCUGAUGUAAAGCCGUCGCAGAUGGACGUUGAGUGGCGCACGCCGUGAAACCAACCCCGCCUCGUCUGAUCGCGCGCACUCCUUCCUCCCCACCCCUGCCGCGCGGCAUCUCUGCCCUGUGCUGCGGCCCCGCCACCCACAACGCCUGCUGCCGCGCUGCGCGAGCAAGUGCGCGUGUGCGGCGUGCGUGGCGCUGCUUGUACUGCUGGUGCUACUGCUGCCCACUGGCCCCGUCACCUUGAGGGCGCCCGUGCCGCCUGUCGGCGCAUGCUGGGCGUACGGCCUCGAGUCGCUGCGGCGCUGGCGCACGUGCGUGCAUGUGCCGUCUGCGCUGCGAUUCGGGGGGCCACAGAGCAAGGGAUGCGAGCGCGCGGCGUGAUGCUCGGCGUGCUGCGCGCGCGCCUGACGCACCGCCGCGCGCCGCGGUUCCCGUUACGCAUAUCCUGUGUGCGCUCCAGCCCCGUCGGGGCCAUGACGAGUCCGCAACCAACCAUGCGUUACACAUUGCCUGCGCGCGCGCGAGGAGACGACGCGCUCACUGUAGUGCGCGUGCCGCAAGACCCACAGGCACCGUGCAUGAAACUGGAGCGCUAGAUUGUAGGCUGCCCGCGGACGCGGUGCCACGGUGCGGGGGAUGACAGACAACACGACAACAAAGCACAGUUUGAGCUGAUGCACCGCUGCCGCGUUUGUGGCCGACACCGGUGCCCCCCGCCGCUGCGUGGGACGCCGCUGGCGGUGCGCGUGCGCAGUACGAUUAAACACGGACGCGCCGCUGCAUACGCUUGGUGCUGGCGCCGUCCGCCAGUGUCGUACGAGAUGUGGGAGGGGCGACGGCGUGCUGGUGCCGGUGCAGUGCCGUCAGGUAAAGUGACGAUGGUGUGUCCCAUCCGCGCCACUGGUUCAGGCGGCACGAGAGCGAGCGACGGAGUAUGCGUGUGUGCUGCUGCUGCUGCUGCUGCUGCUGCGAUGGGAGCGGCGUGCACGGCGACACACUGACGCACAGGCACAUAGAGAGAGAAAGAGCGCGACAGGGACGCAGACGCAGGAUGCACAAAACUGAUUCAGGCGUGCCGACGCACGCAUCAGGAGCCCCCUGACUGAGAGACUAUCAUGCACCACUCUGAGGUUGCGAGCCGCGUGUGCCUGUGUGUGCGCUGCUGAUGCGCGGAGGAGGAGCAGCGAGGGUGCGGGUGCGUGCGGCGCACUGCGCCUCGCCAGGGCGGUCGCCGUUGCCCUCGCGGCCUGUUGCUCCGCGCGCCGCUGUGGACCUGUGCACAGAUGAUGAUUGACUGUAACAUCACAGACUUUGAGUCGCGAUGAUAGCAACCAUGUCGCCCCAGUCUGACGUGCGCCGGCGCCGUGCACGCCGUGUGGGUGUGCGCGUGCGCAUCUAGAGAGCUGUGCCUGUGUGAUGUCGCGGGGGCCGUGCGUGCCCGCCGCUGCGCGUUGACAUGAUCGACACCUAGGCUGAUGUAAAGCCGUCGCAGAUGGACGUUGAGUGGCGCACGCCGUGAAACCAACCCCGCCUCGUCUGAUCGCGCGCACUCCUUCCUCCCCACCCCUGCCGCGCGGCAUCUCUGCCCUGUGCUGCGGCCCCGCCACCCACAACGCCUGCUGCCGCGCUGCGCGAGCAAGUGCGUGUGCGCGAGUGAGACGAAGCGUCGGUGUGGGGGCGGUGUGAGCUCUAUUGUUUGGCGCCGAGAACCCUGUCACUGCUGCUGCCCUAUCGCUUUAUUUGCGGUACGUAUAGUUUCUCCUUCCCUUCUGUGCGGCAGCGUGGGGGUGUGGUAUGACGGGAACGAGAGAAAAGGUUGGUUUCAGUGGGACGAGUGGGCGGGGAGGGGGGUAUGGAAGCGAGGAACUCGAGGACGGUCUGCCAUGAAACGCAAGCGAUGCGUGUUGGGGGCGCCAGACAGAGAAAUGAGAGGCGCUGGCCGGUGGAUGGGCGCUGAGGGAGAGAGAUGUAGGCGCUCAGAGAAAGGGCCAUUGUUGACUGCCGUAGACGUUUGUGACGAGACGCUCAGCUACCCGCUCUCUCUGCCUUUUUCCGCAGACACUCUCAAAGGAAGAUACCUUAGCCGACCCUCGGGGUGCUUUAUUAAUGCUUCGGCAGACGUAUAUGUACACUGAUGUCUGCCUGCUCCUCCUCCAUCGCUAGGCUGGUGGGAUGCUAUGUCUCGCGCCUUCCUUCAACUUACUUCGCUGUCUUGUGCACUUCUCACGUUUGUCUCUCUCUCUCACAG
Molecule: small nucleolar RNA, 15462 nt
Filed under: Leishmania donovani
Lineage: Eukaryota; Euglenozoa; Kinetoplastea; Trypanosomatida; Trypanosomatidae
Description: snoRNA.05.001
Rfam family: Small nucleolar RNA TBR17 (bases 1803-1923)
Source: RNAcentral